GGGUGCACGGUGGUUUAGUGGUUAGCAUGUUCACCUCACACAUGAAGUGUUGGGGGUUCGAUUCCCACUGUGGUCC
Non-coding RNA from Ameiurus melas (black bullhead), 76 nucleotides. The record is from the annotation of a GenBank genome assembly. Lineage: Eukaryota; Metazoa; Chordata; Actinopteri; Siluriformes; Ictaluridae.